UACGGAGGAUGCGAGCGUUAUCCGGAUUUAUUGGGUUUAAAGGGUGCGCAGGCGGCACGGCAAGCCGGCGGUCAAAUCGCGGGGCUCAACCCCGCCCAGCCGUCGGAACUGCCGGGCUAGAGUGGGCGAGAAGUGCGCGGAAUGCGUGGUGUAGCGGUGAAAUGCAUAGAUAUCACGCAGAACUCCGAUUGCGAAGGCAGCGCACCGGCGCCCUACUGACGCUCAGGCACGAAAGCGAGGGUAUCGAACAGG
This 252-nucleotide ribosomal RNA is filed under the name uncultured bacterium. RNAcentral describes it as "partial 16S ribosomal RNA". It matches the Rfam family "Bacterial small subunit ribosomal RNA", at positions 524 to 776 of the family's 1533-position model. The record is from RNAcentral.